GUGCCAGCAGCCGCGGUAAUACAGAGGGUGCAAGCGUUAAUCGGAAUUACUGGGCGUAAAGCGCAUGUAGGUGGGACAAUAAGUUUGAUGUGAAAGCCCUGGGCUUAACCUGGGAAUGGCGUUGAAGACUGUUGUUCUAGAGUUUGACAGAGGGUCGUGGAAUUUCCGGUGUAGCGGUGAAAUGCGUAGAGAUCGGAAAGAACACCAGUGGCGAAGGCGGCGACCUGGGUCUAAACUGACACUGAGGUGCGAAAGCGUGGGGAGCAAACAGGAUUAGAUACCCUAGUAGUCC
Molecule: ribosomal RNA, 292 nt
Filed under: uncultured bacterium
Lineage: Bacteria
Description: partial 16S ribosomal RNA
Rfam family: Bacterial small subunit ribosomal RNA
Source: RNAcentral